AGUGAACGCUGGCGGUAGGCCUAACACAUGCAAGUCGAACGGCAGCACAGUAAGAGCUUGCUCUUACGGGUGGCGAGUGGCGGCCGGGUGAGGAGUACAUCGGAAUCUACUUUUUCGUGGGGGAUAACGUAGGAAAACUUACGCUAAUACCGCAUACGACCUACGGGUGAAAGCAGGGGAUAUUCGGACCUUGCGCGAUUGAAUGAGCCGAUGUCGGAUUAGCUAGUUGGCGGGGUAAAGGCCCACCAAGGCGACGAUCCGUAGCUGGUCUGAGAGGAUGAUCAGCCACACUGGAACUGAGACACGGUCCAGACUCCUACGGGAGGCAGCAGUGGGGAAUAUUGGACAAUGGGGGCAAGCCUGAUCCAGCCAUACCGCGUGGGUGAAGAAGGCCCUCGGGUGGUAAAGCCCUUUAGGUGGGAAAGAAGAGCAGCAGGUUAAUCCCCCGCUGUUCUGACGGUACCCAAAGAAUAAGCACCGGCUAACUUCGUG
Molecule: ribosomal RNA, 492 nt
Filed under: uncultured bacterium
Lineage: Bacteria
Description: partial 16S ribosomal RNA
Rfam family: Bacterial small subunit ribosomal RNA
Source: RNAcentral